RNAcentral lists this unclassified non-coding RNA (21 nucleotides) under Bovine ephemeral fever virus. RNAcentral describes it as "leader RNA". Lineage: Riboviria; Orthornavirae; Negarnaviricota; Monjiviricetes; Mononegavirales; Rhabdoviridae. The record is from RNAcentral.
UUUAUAUCUAAUUAGUGUUUU